GACUGCGGAGGAUCAUU
Molecule: ribosomal RNA, 17 nt
Filed under: Cystobasidium ongulense
Lineage: Eukaryota; Fungi; Basidiomycota; Cystobasidiomycetes; Cystobasidiales; Cystobasidiaceae
Description: partial 18S ribosomal RNA
Source: RNAcentral